AACCCCGUGGCUGAGUGGUGAGGCAGAGGGCUGCAAAUCCUUUUACGCCGGUUCGAAUCCGGCCGGGG
Molecule: transfer RNA, 68 nt
Filed under: Chitinophagaceae bacterium
Lineage: Bacteria; Pseudomonadati; Bacteroidota; Chitinophagia; Chitinophagales; Chitinophagaceae
Description: tRNA-Cys
Rfam family: tRNA
About the family: Transfer RNA (tRNA) molecules are approximately 80 nucleotides in length. Their secondary structure includes four short double-helical elements and three loops (D, anti-codon, and T loops).
Source: RNAcentral